GGUAGUAAGGGGAUCUUGCUGGAGAUCUCUGUGUACCUGAGGCCUUCUAAAGAGGAAAAGCUGCCCAGACAAACCUCGAGGAUGAAGGGACUUCUUGCAGGAUUGGAAUCGCACAUGGAGCAGAGCCAUGGAGGGGAUGCCUCCAUUAGAGCUCCUUGCUGAGACCCUUUCUUGACUGGAAAGGACAGAUGCUGAUCUGUGCAGUACCCAAGGCAAUGGCUUUGCUGCUGAGUCCAAGUGCUGAACAGGGCAUGUUCUGCCCCAUCCAACCUGGAGUUCCUCCCUCUGGGAGUCUUUUGCAGCUGCUUCUCACAAUGCCAGAGAGUUUCCGGAUUUCGACCUGGGAUGACUUUGGGAUAACCUCCUCAAGGACCAAAACAAGGCAUCAUACCAGACACUGAAGAACACAGUUCUGUCCCAGCUGAGGGACAGGUCACUGCUAGGGGAAAAAUAAUUCACCUUGCUUUCAAUCUACAUUUGUUUAGCUUUGGCUUUCAGACCACCUGAAGAGAGCAGCUCUAAAUGAUUCAGGGUAAGCGUAGUUGAGUAGAUUCUUCCACUACCAAGAGGCUGAAGUGGAUCACACUGUUCAGGUGUGAGACACCCAAUUAAUGUGAUGGAUAGGGUUAUAAAAGGCGAAGCCUCUGCAGGACGAGGUACCCCUGUCAGGGAGGGAAGUGGGGAUUUCCUGGCUUGGGGGGCUCUGACACACAGCUUUGGUUGGAAGAGGGCAUCUGAGGUGCAGCUGUCAUGAAAGAAGGGGGGAGAACUGAUUGUCCCAGUGAGGAAGGUAGCAGUGCCUUGUGAUGUGUGUUAGGAGGGAGAAAAAUGGAGGAGAUUAGGAUGGAAUGCUGCACGUAGGGCAGCCUUUCCCAGGGCUGUUGUGCUACCAAUGCAUUUUCAGUUUUGCCUGCGGCUACCAAACUGCCUGGCAGCAGUAGGAAGAUGUCUGCAGUUCAGCACUUGAAAUCAGGGUACCAAGGGCAGCUGGAGGAUUUGCUCUACUCCUUGUCCUGGUUCAGCCCCCCAGGGAUACUGAGCUGCAGAGUGGGAUGCGGGGUCCAGGCUGUGGUCAGGAGCUUCAUAUUCAUGUCACACAGACGUGGGAAAACUCCCCAGGCCUACAGGCUGGAAACAAGACCACAAAAAGCUGCGCUGAUUUCACAUGCAAGGCAGGAGGCAGCUUCAGGAGCCUUUCAGUGCAAACCUCUGGUACCGGAGAGCUCGCCUACACUGAGCUGACCCUAACACCAUUCUGUCAAGGUGAAAGAACAAAGGUAAGGCAGAAACGCUUCUUUUAGUGUACACUGCUUUAGCAGCACUUCCAUUUUAGUGCAAAACAGCCCUGGGUCCUUAAAAAUGCAGGAUUGGAUGAGAUGGCUGCAUCCAGGUGCUCCACAGCUGCAACCAAAGGGAAGAUCUUCCUAACCACAUCUGUAAUUUGUUGACAUAUAUGUUGCCACUGUAAGAAGCCAUAUCCCUUCAAAAUCCUCUGUCUGAUCUUAACUCAUCCUGUUUGAAUCCUGGGCAGCCCAUUCCCUUGAUCUGAUGGAAGACUUCUCCAUGUCCUGAUUCCACUGUGCCAUGAUUAGAAAUAGCAUUACUACUGCAACAAAGAGCUCAGCAAGAGUCAGAACGACGCACUGCAUCAGGCGGGGGAAUUUUCAUGAACUCAGCAUUUUGUUUUUAAACUGCAACUGUCUCUAAUUAACAACUUUUCUGCUCGUGAAGGAUACUCGGUCUCUAACUGAGGCUGCAAGUUCAUCAAGUGAGGGCACUUGGUGCUAGAGAAAGUCCUUCCUUACUGUCACCAUGCCUUGGAUUUGUGAAAGUUUAAUUAUCACAGCAAUCAUUUGUCCAGUGUUGAAAACCUGUGAGGACAGAAAGAAAAGUCAAUAAGUUUGACCUCACUUCUGGGAGGGGAACUCCUGGGAGUCAUUACAAGUCAACUGUGGAAGAAUCAACACGCUGGUUUUAAUGGAUGAGUCUGAAACAAAUUCUUUCCAGUGCCAACAUUCUUCUGUUCUCCAACCCACACCCGAAUGAGCAGAGAACUGAGGCCGUCUUCUGCAGUGAAAGUCCUCCUCCACCUCAGGUGUCUGAGCUGAGAGCAAGAGGAAAAGUGGAAAAUAAUUUAUAGGACCAGAAGGGAAACCAAGUUUGUCAGUAUUUCCUCAAGUUGCAAAAGCAGCAGCAAUAUAUUCAAAUGUGGUCAGAUGUGACACGCUCAUUUUUCUCACUUAGGUCCUGGUUCUGGAAAAUGUCUCCGCAAAGCACUUCAGUGUGUGCUGAUGUUCAGACCUGGGUGCGAACCCCACGCAGCCCAGAGGAACUCAAGCAAGUGCUUACAGAUAAGCAUGAAUGCACUCAAGUGGUGUCCUGAUUAGGGCAUGUGCUUAAGUGGCUCCUUGAGCUGGAGCCUCUGGCUUUGAACAGGCAUUCCCAUUCUCUGUGUGUUAUGCAGACAGAACUAACUAAACACUCGCUUGUUUUCUAUAGCACUGACCAUAACCACCUCAAGCACCAGGGCAGCAGACACGAGCAGGAAAAUUGACUCUGAUCAUCCCUGGGGUCGUUUAACUAAAACACACAUUUCAGUCGAGCCAAGUGUUCACCAGUGCUUUUCAACUCCCCUGGUGUCAAAACAAUUAGCAGAUCACAGCAGCACCGACUCGCUGGUGCUCCAGUGGAAGCAUCUGGCCAGCACAUGGAGACAUAAUGCCAGCACAGAGUGAGUUCCUCCUGCGAUGCUGUUUGGGUGACUCUUCCAUCACCGGAUGGGUUACACAAUUCAGAUUUCUUGAAAACAGAUCACUGCUUUAAUUCUUGGUUUGUCUAAAAGGAGGUGGAUGGUGGC
Long non-coding RNA from Lagopus muta (rock ptarmigan), 2857 nucleotides. RefSeq lists it as uncharacterized. The record is from RefSeq and is a predicted model, not a curated record. NCBI's taxonomy places the organism in Eukaryota, Metazoa, Chordata, Aves, Galliformes, Phasianidae. The transcript is spliced from 4 exons.